This 76-nucleotide transfer RNA is filed under the name Candidatus Bathyarchaeota archaeon. Its description in RNAcentral is "tRNA-Gly". It matches the Rfam family "tRNA". From Rfam's summary of the family: Transfer RNA (tRNA) molecules are approximately 80 nucleotides in length. RNAcentral also lists the same sequence under 1 other name. The record is from RNAcentral. Lineage: Archaea; Thermoproteati; Candidatus Bathyarchaeota.
GCGGCCGUAGUCUAGCCUGGUACGAUAUCUGCCUGCCACGCAGACGGCCCGGGUUCAAAUCCCGGCGGCCGCACCA